This is a long non-coding RNA of Gasterosteus aculeatus aculeatus (three-spined stickleback), 2395 nucleotides long. Lineage: Eukaryota; Metazoa; Chordata; Actinopteri; Perciformes; Gasterosteidae. The record is from Ensembl.
CCAUCGGUGAACCAGAUGUGAUCGCAAGCGCCGAGUUACAAAAAGUUAGAGAGCGGAGAGAGAGAGAGAGAGUUAGCGAGCUACCGUAGACGGGCGGAGCGCAACAUGGUGUCAAGGCCGGGAGACAAAGCGGUGUCAGAUUCUCCCUCGCUGCCUGCCAUUCAAAUCUCUCGCUGCACACACUUCAAAGAAUACGGUUACCGUGGCAACUGGCCACUUGUAGUGGCGAGCGGGCGACGGUACGAGAUGAGACUGGCUUUUGGUUUGUUCUGUAGCUCCAUCACGCAGAUCUCCUUAGAGCCGUGGUGCCCCACUUCCCCUUUUCUCGACCCCCAACGAUCGCAGACGACACGCUGCUCGCUGUUGGACUCACCGGGCCGGCUGACCCGAUGUGGUCAGUGGCUGCUCGUCUCCGUCCACACUUCACCGCUCCCACAGCAACAUCUGGAGGUCAUCGACCCGCUCAGCGGUCACGGGCAUGUUCUACUAGUAGUGAGCGAGGAGUCAGUGGCCGAAUAAAAGCAAGAGCUUGUGAGUUUACUGCACCAGGAUGAGGCGAUUUGUUUCUUUUCACUGUUGAUUGAAUGUUUCUCUCGCUGGUCUCCUACACACAGUUGGUUUAAAGGACGUGCAUGGUGAUAAAUUGACGGCAAUGAUUUACACUUAUGUAAAGAAUACUUUAUUACAAAGAAAACAGUGCCAAUGACGUCUACGUGACGCUGAAGCUGCAGGUAUGAAACACAACCGGGCCAAUUAUCUCCAACGACACGUCACGGCGCUGCAGAGAAAACACGGAAACCAAAGCCUGGACCCCAAAACACGGCAAUCAGAGAAUAAACUGAAACAGAGACAUCUUUGGCUCAUUCGUCACAUUGACAAACUGUCAGGCAGCUCCAGCUUGUUCAGAACGCCGCUGCUAGAGUUCUAACAAAGAACAAAAGAUGUGAGCACAUUACACCAAUUCUUAAAUCCUUACAUUGGCUCCCAGUAUGUCAGAGAAUUCAUUUCAACAUCCUACUGCUCACAUAUAAAUCACUGCAUGGUUUAGGGCCAAAGUAUAUCACUGAUAUGCUUCCACUACAUAAGCCUUCAAGAUCACUGAGAUCUUCUGACACCAACCUGUGAUUCCCAGAGUAAAUACAAGUCAUGGGAAAGCAUCAUUUAGUUACUACGCAACAGCUGGAAUAAACUUCCUGAAGAUUUAAGACUUGCCCCAACUCUGACCACGUUUAAAACAAGACUGAAAACUUUUACGUUCGUAAGAGUCCAGUUUGUGUGUCCAAUCUGUCAUCUAAAGCAUCGAGUGUGAACUACAGCUAUAAUCUAACAAUAUUAGAAAUGACAUCAAAUACCAUGACAACUAUCAUUAUUGUCCUGCAUGUAAAUCACAACCCUAAAACACACACGUUUAGCGUUGGUUUGCAACACACCUUCUUAUGUCACGUUAUGAGCGUGGAGAAAGAAUAACCUUUGACCUUUUGAAUUUGAGACACUAUUGCCUGAUGAUACAUAGUCGGCAUGAUUUGAACAGUCUGUUGUGCGUUCGUGGUGCUCGGCAUUGACCGAUGGAGGGAUGAACACUCACCCCUGAUUUGUAUUGUAUUAAAUCACAUUGUGGCGAAACAAAAGUUCCUCGUGUGGCAGGUCAGAGUUUAUGAUUAAAUAUGAUUAACUAAAAAAAAUAAAAAAAAAGCGUAAAGAAACGAAGUGCUUGGCGCGAUGAACACAUGAACCACGACUCGGCGUCAGUCGGUCCCUCACACACAACGCCGGAGCCGUUUAUUACCACACAGAAUGAUCGACAGGGACCAAAGCAGCGAGCAUCAUGGGACAUUAAUCCACACUUUACUCUGCGCCUCCUGUGGGUGAAGUACACAUUUAAGGUUCAGUAUCAAAACACACACUCGUGUCACCGUUACUGGGCAGUUUGAACUCGCCUGAAAACACAGAUGACACGUGGCACAUACGUGAAAUAUCCAGCGCAUAUACAGCAACUAUAUUGAAAAAAACACAGUUCAAAAAGGGACAUAAAAAGUCCCACUUCAGUGAACUGCCAGGCGGAAUGAGUGAAGUCUCACUACCGGAGGUAAGGACGCUCUCGUGGGCGCGGCUACACUAAACGCCAAAAUGAAACACAACAUGAUUAGAAGAUAUCCAUACUCGAACUAUAAUCGUAACCCGGAUCGUUUAACAACUUCUUCAGCGGUCGAAAGUCUAUUGCAUGCAAACAAGAGUCAGACGGGGAGAUAAGUGAUGCCGAAUAACAUACGUGUGCCUGCCGUCAUGUGCAAACGUUAUCCGUUAUAUUGACUGUGGGAACCCGGAGGUCGUCGUGAGAAGAAUCUAUCCGUCUAUUCACUUCAUCUAAUCGGUGACAGUGCAGCCGGACACGAGG